AUUGAACGCUGGCGGCAGGCUUAACACAUGCAAGUCGAGCGGGGUGAUGGUGCUUGCACUAUCACUUAGCGGCGGACGGGUGAGUAAUGCUUAGGAAUCUGCCUAUUAGUGGGGGGCAACAUCUCGAAAGGGAUGCUAAUACCGCAUACGUCCUACGGGAGAAAGCAGGGGAUCACUUGUGACCUUGCGCUAAUAGAUGAGCCUAAGUCGGAUUAGCUAGUUGGUGGGGUAAAGGCCUACCAAGGCGACGAUCUGUAGCGGGUCUGAGAGGAUGAUCCGCCACACUGGGACUGAGACACGGCCCAGACUCCUACGGGAGGCAGCAGUGGGGAAUAUUGGACAAUGGGGGGAACCCUGAUCCCGCCAUGCCGCGUGUGUGAAGAAGGCCUUAUGGUUGUAAAGCACUUUAAGCGAGGAGGAGGCUCUUUUGGUUAAUACCCAAGAUGAGUGGACGUUACUCGCAGAAUAAGCACCGGCUAACUCUGUGCCAGCAGCCGCAGUAA
Molecule: ribosomal RNA, 503 nt
Filed under: uncultured bacterium
Lineage: Bacteria
Description: partial 16S ribosomal RNA
Rfam family: Bacterial small subunit ribosomal RNA
Source: RNAcentral